AGCCAGGAGCUCCGAGAGCCCCAAAAGCCACAGAAUCAAAUGCGCGCUCUUCCGAUCGUGAAUUGUUGUAUCCCUUUGGCCAUCAAAAUGAUUUAGGCCACGUCGUCCUCACCAGGCCGCAGACUUCCCGGGAGGAUGGUCGAGGCGAUGGAUGUCCCGGACCCCCAUUUCCACCAACGCCACCGCCGCCAAUUACGGAGACGUCUUCUUCAUCCACGACACCUGCGUCACCAUCCUUCACCAGUGUGGCGACGGCACAACCGAUCCCCACUUCCGGUGGGGGACUACUGCCAACGACGACGACGACGUCCUCCACGUCCCCCCACAAUAAGGCCGUAACGCCCCCUCCACCCCUCCCCCUGUCGCCAUGUCUUCCAUCCACGGCCCCGCCGGAGCCGGAACUGUUGUCGCCCCGGGUCCUCACCGCGUCCGUGAGUCACCUCUCCCUCCAGUCGAGUCGGCAUAACAGAUUCCAUUCAGGCAAUUAUUCCUUUCAUCG
This is a long non-coding RNA of Folsomia candida, 499 nucleotides long. RefSeq lists it as uncharacterized. The transcript is spliced from 3 exons. NCBI's taxonomy places the organism in Eukaryota, Metazoa, Arthropoda, Collembola, Entomobryomorpha, Isotomidae. The record is from RefSeq and is a predicted model, not a curated record.